RNAcentral lists this ribosomal RNA (211 nucleotides) under uncultured bacterium. RNAcentral's name for it is "partial 16S ribosomal RNA". It matches the Rfam family "Bacterial small subunit ribosomal RNA", at positions 524 to 735 of the family's 1533-position model. The record is from RNAcentral.
UACGGAGGGUGCAAGCGUUGUUCGGAAUUAUUGGGCGUAAAGCGUGCGCAGGCGGUUUUGUAAGACAGGCGUGAAAUCCCCGGGCUCAACCUGGGAACUGCGUUUGUGACUGCAAGGCUAGAGUAUGGCAGAGGGGGGUGGAAUUCCACGUGUAGCAGUGAAAUGCGUAGAGAUGUGGAGGAACACCGAUGGCGAAGGCAGCCCCUGGGCC